Molecule: small RNA, 159 nt
Filed under: Drosophila pseudoobscura pseudoobscura
Lineage: Eukaryota; Metazoa; Arthropoda; Insecta; Diptera; Drosophilidae
Description: GA32443
Source: RNAcentral
UAGCCCUAUUCUUUGGUAGAUCAGGCAUAUUCGAAAUGAGAUUUUCGUCAGUCUGUUUCCAUUCCUGUUCCCGUCAACAUCUAUAUUUUUUGUUAAAUUUUCGUUCUAUGUUCCUAUCGUAGUAUGCCCUGCCAGGUAUAAUCAAAAGAAAGAGUUACC